Long non-coding RNA from Aricia agestis (brown argus), 92 nucleotides. RefSeq lists it as uncharacterized. The record is from RefSeq and is a predicted model, not a curated record. NCBI's taxonomy places the organism in Eukaryota, Metazoa, Arthropoda, Insecta, Lepidoptera, Lycaenidae. The transcript has 3 exons.
GUCAUCCAAAUCGAUGGAGGUUCAACGAAAUCGGAGGUUGUGCCUGAUUUUUGCCUUCAUUAACUGUACUAUAAAUGGAUUAUGACAAGUGU